RNAcentral lists this ribosomal RNA (465 nucleotides) under uncultured bacterium. RNAcentral's name for it is "partial 16S ribosomal RNA". It matches the Rfam family "Bacterial small subunit ribosomal RNA", at positions 28 to 507 of the family's 1533-position model. The record is from RNAcentral.
GACGAACGCUGGCGGCGUGCUUAACACAUGCAAGUCGAACGGAAAGGCCCCUUUGGGGGUACUCGAGUGGCGAACGGGUGAGUAACACGUGAGUAACCUGCCCUUGACUUCGGGAUAACUUCAGGAAACUGGGGCUAAUACCGGAUAGGAAUCCUUGCUGCAUGGUGGGGGUUGGAAAGCUUCGGCGGUUUUGGAUGGACUCGCGGCUUAUCAGCUUGUUGGUGGGGUAGUGGCUUACCAAGGCUUUGACGGGUAGCCGGCCUGAGAGGGCGACCGGCCACAUUGGGACUGAGAUACGGCCCAGACUCCUACGGGAGGCAGCAGUGGGGAAUAUUGCACAAUGGGCGGAGGCCUGAUGCAGCAGCGCCGCGUGCGGGAUGACGGCCUUCGGGUUGUAAACCGCUUUCAGCAGGGGCGAAGCUUGUGGUGACGGUACCUGCAGAAGAAGCACCGGCUAACUACGUG